UACAGAGGUCUCAAGCGUUGUUCGGAAUCACUGGGCGUAAAGGGUGCGUAGGCCGCACGGUAAGUCAGAGGUGAAAUCCCGGAGCUCAACUUCGGAAUUGCCUCCGAUACUGCCGUGCUUGAGGACUGGGGAGGAGAUUGGAAUUCACAGUGGAGCAGUGAAAUGCGUAGAUAUUGUGAGGAACACUAGUGGCGAAGGCGAAUCUCUGGACAGUUCCUGACGCUGAGGCACGAAGGCCAGGGGAGCAAACGGG
RNAcentral lists this ribosomal RNA (253 nucleotides) under uncultured bacterium. RNAcentral's name for it is "partial 16S ribosomal RNA". It matches the Rfam family "Bacterial small subunit ribosomal RNA", at positions 524 to 776 of the family's 1533-position model. The record is from RNAcentral.